GUCAAGUACAAGAACGCAUCCAGCUGUGUGUGUUGGAUCCGAGAAGGAGGUUGGAGACUGGCUAGAGAGCGGAGCAGGUCGGGAGGCUGGGUCCUUCACACACGCCACCAACCGAAGACGCCUUCAGCGGGGCGCCGGAGCCCAGAGGCUCUCAAGCGCUGCUGGCUUCUCUUCCCAACUUGGCAUCGGCAACAUCACCACCAGCGUGCAACGAGCCAUGAGUCUACUCACGGAGUGUGGAAAAUAAACUCCCAAGAUGUCGGGCUUUCUUACUUCCUGGAACCAUGAUUCACAAUUCAAACGUUCAAAACAGUUAAAAAAAAAAAAAAAAAACGGAAAAGGUUUUCUUUGAAGCGAUUCACUUCCUCCUUAUUAUUCACUGCAGUUAACCAAUGUUUAUGGUAUUAACACUUUGAAAAAGAUUGGCGUGUGACCAAAGAGGGACUUGAACCAGCUAAUCAGGGUGCACUUCACAUCUACAAAAUCUUCAGUCAUCAACAGCACGCACAGACCCUGCCAGACCAUAAGUGAUAAUAAAGUAACACCUAAUAACAAAAUAUUCUUUAAAGUUUGUGAAAAGGCAGUAUUUGUAAAUAUUUUAAAAUUUGCCUCCUCUAUUCAUUUCGUUUCGAGGGUUUAUUCUAGCCGCAGAGAAAGUAAACACGCAAUUACAAUUACACAAAACUAAGCCAGCUAAUUGGGAGAUCAAAAAAUAAAAACGCCCUUGUCUUUUUUGCGAAUUACUGUUUAUCUCAAGAAUGUUCCAUUGCGAUACUAAGACUCACGUUCCUAAGGUUUUGACAGACUCAAUAAACAAAAGGGAUUUAGGGGCAUGAGUUGACCAUCUGUCCAGAGCUUCCUGAACUUUCAGCAAAGCGGAUGAAUAAAAUUAUCCUUAAUUAUGUUAUCAGGGCUGUAUUUGAAUACCCAGACGUACCGGAUUUUGGAUUAGCCACUUAAAAUCCCAUUGAAAGAUUCUGACUGAGUAACAGAACUUUAGAAAGUGACAUUACAUCAGUUUUACUCUUUUAGAAGUUGUCGUGCAUCAGAUGGCAAUCUAUCAAGACUUGGCACAGAAGGACAGAAGAUGAAAACUAUCUCCCUCAGAAACUUUCUUUGCUACUGUUGAUGACCACAACAGUGAGAUGCUUGUAAGCAACAAAUACAAGAGUGGUAGGGAUGUGUACAGUCUCCCAGAUGGAUUUCUCUGUAUUUUCACUUGGUUCUUCCAGAUGUAGGGCACAGACACAGCGUCACGGCUCGCUUGUACUAAAUGCCUUUGUUGAAAUUGUUUUCCUCACCCGCUACACACAGGUCCUUUUCUAGUUUGGAUCCAGUCACAUAGCACAGUGGUUCAUACCUUGGGUUCUAGAGUCAACAAAGAUAGGUUUUAUUUCCAUUCUGUCACUUACUAUCUUUAAAUGGCUCUGAGCAAGAUACUUGAUUUCUUAAGGCCUCAGUCUUCUCAUCUAUAAAAUGGGAACAAUAAUUCUGCAUUCUUCAUUACCGUGGCUCUGAGGAUUAACUAAGCUAAUGUGUGUGUAAAACCCGUGUCUGGCACAUGUUCAGGUUUAAAAUUUAAAUUCUGCAAGUAUCUAUUAGAUUUGCCUGUUACAUAUAGAAACUGUGCUAGGUACGGGGAAAUAGUUAUUAAAUAUUAGGCAUUUGUUAUUUUUCCUACUACUCUAUUGCUAUUUUCUGGACUAUAUGUACCUACAUACUAUUCUAUAGUUCAGGAACCUACUGAUGUCCAGAAGGAUUAAGUAAUGUAUCUACACAGUAUUUUACCUAAACUGAAAGAAGCUUUAAGAACAGAGGCAGGCGCCCCUGUCUCCAUCUUGUUAAUGAGGAAACCGAGGUCUAGAAGGUUUGGGUACCUUGCUGUGCAAAGGGGCCUGACAGCGUGCCGGUGGUCAUAGACUCUGGAGUGAGGCUGCCUGCGUAUGAAUCCUGCAUCUGCCAGCUGGUGUCCAUGUGACUCUCCAAGUAACUUUAAAAAAAGUUUAUUUAUUUACUUUUUAUUUAUGUGUUUAUUUAAAGUUUUAUUUA
This is a long non-coding RNA of Hyaena hyaena (striped hyena), 2049 nucleotides long. RefSeq lists it as uncharacterized. NCBI's taxonomy places the organism in Eukaryota, Metazoa, Chordata, Mammalia, Carnivora, Hyaenidae. The record is from RefSeq and is a predicted model, not a curated record. The transcript is spliced from 4 exons.